GAUGAACGCCGGCGGCGUGCCUAAUACAUGCAAGUCGAGCGAACAGACGAGGAGCUUGCUCCUCUGACGUUAGCGGCGGACGGGUGAGUAACACGUGGAUAACCUACCUAUAAGACUGGGAUAACUUCGGGAAACCGGAGCUAAUACCGGAUAAUAUAUUGAACCGCAUGGUUCAAUAGUGAAAGACGGUUUUGCUGUCACUUAUAGAUGGAUCCGCGCCGCAUUAGCUAGUUGGUAAGGUAACGGCUUACCAAGGCAACGAUGCGUAGCCGACCUGAGAGGGUGAUCGGCCACACUGGAACUGAGACACGGUCCAGACUCCUACGGGAGGCAGCAGUAGGGAAUCUUCCGCAAUGGGCGAAAGCCUGACGGAGCAACGCCGCGUGAGUGAUGAAGGUCUUCGGAUCGUAAAACUCUGUUAUUAGGGAAGAACAAAUGUGUAAGUAACUAUGCACGUCUUGACGGUACCUAAUCAGAAAGCCACGGCUAACUACGUG
Molecule: ribosomal RNA, 497 nt
Filed under: uncultured bacterium
Lineage: Bacteria
Description: partial 16S ribosomal RNA
Rfam family: Bacterial small subunit ribosomal RNA
Source: RNAcentral